UCAUUUUGUUAAAAACAUCAAACAAAGAUUGCCCAUUUUGAAAAUCGUUAUCAACUAUGACACAAAGGAACCAUUCCUUCAUCAUAGAAACCAAAAGUUUACGAGAAAUUGAAUCAGGGCUAUAUGCAUUAGCCCAUUCCAUGCCCAAUGAAUAGGCUUCAUCUUUCCAAGCAAGAAAAGAGGUUGACUCGACAAUAGUAGGUUGGAUAAUCUCACGAUUAGGGAAAA
This is a non-coding RNA of Schizosaccharomyces pombe (fission yeast), 228 nucleotides long. The record is from the annotation of a GenBank genome assembly. NCBI's taxonomy places the organism in Eukaryota, Fungi, Ascomycota, Schizosaccharomycetes, Schizosaccharomycetales, Schizosaccharomycetaceae.